UACAGAGGGUGCAAGCGUUGUUCGGAAUUAUUGGGCGUAAAGCGCGUGUAGGCGGCUUAGCAAGUCGGGCGUGAAAGCCCUCGGCUCAACCGAGGAAGUGCACCCGAAACUGCUGAGCUUGAGUGCCGGAGAGGAUGGCGGAAUUCCCCAAGUAGAGGUGAAAUUCGUAGAUAUGGGGAGGAACACCGGUGGCGAAGGCGGCCAUCUGGACGGUAACUGACGCUGAGGCGCGAAAGCUAGGGGAGCAAACAGG
RNAcentral lists this ribosomal RNA (253 nucleotides) under uncultured bacterium. RNAcentral's name for it is "partial 16S ribosomal RNA". It matches the Rfam family "Bacterial small subunit ribosomal RNA", at positions 524 to 776 of the family's 1533-position model. The record is from RNAcentral.